RNAcentral lists this ribosomal RNA (1374 nucleotides) under metagenome. RNAcentral's name for it is "bacterial LSU rRNA". It matches the Rfam family "Bacterial large subunit ribosomal RNA", at positions 1564 to 2925 of the family's 2925-position model. The record is from RNAcentral.
UGAUGCGUAGCCGUAGCGGCGAAAUCCAUGAUCCUAUGCUGCCGAGAAAAGCCUCUAGCGAGCUGGUACAUGGCCCGUACCCCAAACCGACACAGGUGGUCAGGUAGAGAAUACUAAGGCGAUCGAGAGAACUGUGGUUAAGGAACUCGGCAAAAUGCCCCCGUAACUUCGGGAGAAGGGGGACCAGUCCUGGUGACGACAUUUACUGUCUGAGCUGGGGUUGGUCGCAGAGACCAGAGAGAAGCGACUGUUUACUAAAAACACAGGUCCGUGCGAAGUCGUAAGACGAUGUAUACGGACUGACGCCUGCCCGGUGCUGGAAGGUUAAGAGGACCGGUCAGCCACUUCGGUGGCGAAGCUGAGAAUUUAAGCCCCAGUAAACGGCGGUGGUAACUAUAACCAUCCUAAGGUAGCGAAAUCCCUUGUCGGGUAAGUUCCGACCUGCACGAAUGGCGUAACGACUUCUCUGCUGUCUCAACCACAGACUCGGCGAAAUUGCAGUACGAGUAAGGAUGCUCGUUACGCGCGGCAGGACGAAAAGACCCCGGGACCUUCACUAUAGCUUGGUAUUGGUGUUCGGUUCGGUUUGUGUAGGAUAGGUGGGAGACUGUGAAACUCGCACGCCAGUGUGGGUGGAGUCAUUGUUGAAAUACCACUCUGACCGUAUUGGACACCUAACCUCGGACCAUGAUCUGGUUCAGGGACAGUGCCUGGUGGGUAGUUUAACUGGGGCGGUUGCCUCCUAAAAAGUAACGGAGGCGCCCAAAGGUUCCCUCAGCCUGGUUGGCAAUCAGGUGUUGAGUGUAAGUGCACAAGGGAGCUUGACUGUGAGACGUACAUGUCGAGCAGGACGAAAGUCGGGACUAGUGAUCCGGCACCGGCAAGUGGAAGCGGUGUCGCUCAACGGAUAAAAGGUACCCCGGGGAUAACAGGCUGAUCUUCCCCAAGAGUCCAUAUCGACGGGAUGGUUCGGCACCUCGAUGUCGGCUCGUCGCAUCCUGGGGCUGGAGUAGGUCCCAAGGGUUGGGCUGUUCGCCCAUUAAAGCGGCACGCGAGCUGGGUUUAGAACGUCGUGAGACAGUUCGGUCUCUAUCCGCCGCGCGCGUAAGAAACUUGAGGAAACCUGUCCCUAGUACGAGAGGACCGGGACGGACGAACCUCUGGUGUGCCAGUUGUUCCACCAGGAGCACCGCUGGUUAGCUACGUUCGGAAGGGAUAACCGCUGAAAGCAUCUAAGCGGGAAGCCUGUUCCAAGAUGAGGUUUCUCACCACCUAGCGUGGUUAAGGCCCCCCACAGACCAUGGGGUUGAUAGGCCAGAACUGUAAGCACAGCAAUGUGUUCAGGUGACUGGUACUAAUCGGCCGAGGACUUCC